Molecule: long non-coding RNA, 1315 nt
Organism: Fukomys damarensis (Damara mole-rat)
Lineage: Eukaryota; Metazoa; Chordata; Mammalia; Rodentia; Bathyergidae
Exons: 3
Source: RefSeq, a predicted model, not a curated record
AUGGGUGUGUGAUAGUGGGUUGUUCUCUGUGGAUGGUGGAUUUCCUGAAGAGGGAGGCCCUACCCUGGGUGUGGGUGGCUCCAACCAAUAGGCUUGUUGCCUGGAUGGGAAAAGAAAAAAGAAGGAAGUCUUGCUACUUCCUGCCUUCCGUGCCCCUGCCAUAGAGCCAGCCCACGGUGGACUGAGACCUCUACAAACCACAGGGUCAUGCUAUGUAGUUCAGGCUGGCCUUGAACUCACUAUGUAGCCCAUGGCGGCUUCCAAAUCAUGGUGAUCUCGCCUCAGCCUCCCAAGUGCUGCGAUCACAGCACUCGUGACACAGCACACACCUCCACACCUAGACCCGUGUGUCAUGACCCCCAAAGGUACCUGAGACAACCAGCAAAGUGACUGUGCCUGCACCCUCCGCCCCGGGAGACAGCGCACCUGAGCACUGUUACCGGAGCCUUCAGGGCGUCCUGCCCCUGCACACUUCUCCAGGCUGCCCACGGAGCACGCGUCUCACCUCAGUGAGCGCCCGUCCUCCAGGAAAUGACUCCAGCAGCCUCUCCUAGAGUAACCGUGUUGUGGAGCCUCACAGGACAGCAGCAGUCGCGACCAUCGUCUUCUUGCCCUAAGCCACUCAUGUGGAGAAAGCAAUAAUGUCCUUCCCACUUGCAUUAUUUUUCAGGUCGCCUGGGACCGGACCCAGGGCGAGGACCGUACUGUGCCUGGUUUGGCGUAGGGCUGCGUUCUGGCCUCCGCCCGCUAGGUGUCAGUAGCUCCCCGGUUUCCGGCCUCGGCGUCGUGGUCUGUGGCCUUUGAUCGCCGUGUCUUCCGGAAGGCGUCCGGGCGGAGGGACCUGGCUCGCCGAGUCCGCCCGUGCCCGGUGCGACCCGUGCUUUUGUUUCCGGCCACUUCGGUUCCUUUGCUCGCCGCCGACCAAAUCCGAGGAGGGGAAGGGACGGGACGGGAGGCGUCUUCACGGCGUCGCACAGAUCUCCGCCUCCCCGAGGGCAGGGCCGGGGUCCCAGCCGGCACCGUGGGCUCCUCCCGCUCUGUCCGCGCGGCCGCCGAGGGGCGCGGAGAGGCCGCGGUGCUGCUGCGUGCGUGGCGGGAGGGAGUUUGGAGAAGCUGCGUUUCUCUAACCCAAAGAAGCCUGCCCCGCAGAGCGCCUGUCUGCGGCGGCUUUCGUUGUCCACCUCCCUGUCAGACUUCUGCCGCCUAAGACAGAGGUCCCAUGGCUGAUGCAUGAUGAACGGCCUAUUGCUAGCAUUCUUCAUGCUAUCAAAGAGAGAUGGGGGAAUUAUGGCGAGCCAUUAUGGUGAGCCUUGAC